UGGACAGACUGCACAUCUUUCUGCUUGUUCUAGGAGGUGUUUCAUGCUGUCAUUUUUGCGUUUCUGGAUCAGUGAUGGAGGUGACAGUCAGACCUAGAGACAACAUCACCCUGUACUGUGACUGCAAAGUGUCGACCGGAGUCUUUAUAGUGUGGUUCAGGAACUGUUCCCAUGAGAACCAGCCACCUCUUGUUCUAGACGUAACACUUGAUUACUGGAGAAACCCAAAGAACCAUUCUCGUUUUGAAUUUGUGAAGAACAUUUCUUCUGAUUCUUAUGACUUCUUAAUAACAAACAUCUCUGGUUCUGACGAGGGCUUGUACUACUGUGGAACUAAAGAGAAGAAGGUGGAAGUUAAAGAAAAGUUGACUCAAAAUAUUAUUUACAAUUACAGCAACAUCACCACAAGAGUCACAGUUGAUGACGAAAAGCGAUAUGAAGCAAGAAAUGAUA
Long non-coding RNA from Cololabis saira (Pacific saury), 453 nucleotides. RefSeq lists it as uncharacterized. The transcript has 3 exons. NCBI's taxonomy places the organism in Eukaryota, Metazoa, Chordata, Actinopteri, Beloniformes, Belonidae. The record is from RefSeq and is a predicted model, not a curated record.